GACGAACCGUGCGAACGUUAUUCGGAAUCACUGGGCGUAAAGGGCGCGUAGGCGGCCCUCUAAGUCGAACGUGAAAUCCCCGGGCUCAACCCGGGAACUGCGUCCGAUACUGGAAGGCUUGAAUCCGGGAGAGGGAUGUGGAAUUCCAGGUGUAGCGGUGAAAUGCGUAGAUAUCUGGAGGAACACCGGUGGCGAAGGCGACAUCCUGGACCGGUAUUGACGCUGAGGCGCGAAAGCCAGGGGAGCAAACGGG
RNAcentral lists this ribosomal RNA (253 nucleotides) under uncultured bacterium. Its description in RNAcentral is "partial 16S ribosomal RNA". It matches the Rfam family "Bacterial small subunit ribosomal RNA", at positions 524 to 776 of the family's 1533-position model. The record is from RNAcentral.